AACGAACGCUGGCGGCAUGCCUAACACAUGCAAGUCGAACGAGACCUUCGGGUCUAGUGGCGCACGGGUGCGUAACGCGUGGGAACCUACCCUUAGGUUCGGAAUAACUCCCCGAAAGGGGUGCUAAUACCGGAUAAUGUCUUCGGACCAAAGAUUUAUCGCCUUUGGAUGGGCCCGCGUUGGAUUAGCUAGUGGGUAGGGUAAAAGCCUACCAAGGCGACGAUGGAUAGCUGGCCUGAGAGGGGGAUCAGCCACACUGGGACUGGGACACGGCCCAGACCCCAACUGGCGGCAGCAGGGGGAAGGAGUACACAAGGGGAGCGAGCCUGAGGCAGCGACGCCACGUGCGGGAUGACGGUCAAGGGGUUGGGAUCGCCAGUCAGUUCUCACGGGGAUUAAGUGACGGUACCGGGAGAAAAAGCACCGGCCAACUUCGGG
This 438-nucleotide ribosomal RNA is filed under the name uncultured bacterium. Its description in RNAcentral is "partial 16S ribosomal RNA". It matches the Rfam family "Bacterial small subunit ribosomal RNA", at positions 29 to 507 of the family's 1533-position model. The record is from RNAcentral.